GAUUAUUUAGUUUAAUUUAAAACAAAUGUUUUGAAAACAUCAAAUAAGAUUUGAAUCUUAAUAAUUG
Molecule: transfer RNA, 67 nt
Filed under: Macrophthalmus abbreviatus
Lineage: Eukaryota; Metazoa; Arthropoda; Malacostraca; Decapoda; Macrophthalmidae
Description: tRNA-Ser
Rfam family: tRNA
About the family: Transfer RNA (tRNA) molecules are approximately 80 nucleotides in length. Their secondary structure includes four short double-helical elements and three loops (D, anti-codon, and T loops).
Source: RNAcentral